AUGAGUGGCGAACGGGUGAGUAACACGUGGGUAACCUACCUCGCACUUUGGGAUAAGCCUGGGAAACUGGGCCUAAUACCAAAUAUGACUUACCACCUCAUGGCGGUAAGUGGAAAGUUCCGGCGGUGCGAGAUGGACCCGCGGCCUAUCAGCUUGUUGGUGGGGUAAUGGCCUACCAAGGCGACAACGGGUAGCCGGCCUGAGAGGGUGUACGGCCACACUGGGACUGAGAUACGGCCCAG
RNAcentral lists this ribosomal RNA (242 nucleotides) under uncultured bacterium. RNAcentral's name for it is "partial 16S ribosomal RNA". It matches the Rfam family "Bacterial small subunit ribosomal RNA", at positions 91 to 334 of the family's 1533-position model. The record is from RNAcentral.